UUUGCCUUCCUGUUACAAUUCAGAAAUUGGCAACAUAUGGAGAAGCACCACCCACCUGUACAUAUUUUACUUUCUUUAACAAGCAUAAUUUUGCUAUAGGCUUCAAUAACUCUUCUAUCCGAAUACAUUGACUCUGCUCUCUAGCAUGAUGAGUUUGCUGAUAUUUUCCAUUGCCACAAUCCAUGUUUCCACAGAAUCAAGCCAAGCUUGAGGGUCAUCAAAAGCAUAUCACAUGCCUGGCCUUUUCUCACAAUUUAAAUGUGCUUGAAUCAGCAGCAGCUGGUUCCCAGCUAGCAAGCAAGUUUAUGUGUUGUCUUUGGGCAGGCGGUAGACCCUUCAGUGGUCAACUUUAUUUAGUUUCGCCAAGAUCAGGUUCACCUGCUUGCCGUCCAUGAAAGGCUGAUAGGCAUAUACUAAGCACCCUUACUGUAUCAUGUUAUUCAGCUGAUACAAACAAUUCAGAAACUUCAGAUAGAUUCAUAUAGUAAUAGUAGUCAUCAAUCUGUACGAGUGAAAGUUUUCUGUUGCAGUGGGUUCCUAAAGAAGCAGACCUUCUAAUCACAUCUGCAACCUAUUCUUCAAAUGGUCAGUCAUUAUAUGUUAGCUUCAAAACUGGAUGUCUAAAGUUUCUUGUCUCUACAACACUAGAUGUAAGAUGUCAGAUUAAUGUAACUGCUUACAUACACAACCCCGUACCAGCUGAAGACUGUUAAACAAAGAGCAAUUUGUAGCUCCUCUUCUAUCUCCAUUCAUCCCAUUAAAACUGUUUUAUAUAUGGUUUACAGGUCUACCCUCUUUUUAUUGCAGCUCAUCCAUCUAAUAACCCAAAUCAAAUAGCAUUGGGGCUUAGUAAUGAUAGGGCCCACAUUCUUGAACCCCUAGAAGCUGAAGAAUGAGGUGAACCACCUCCACAGCAGAUGCUAGGAGUAAAGCAAAUGUAAGUGGAUAAAUCUGUUUCAGGGUGACAAUCGCAGCAGGUUUUUGUUGCUUUUGACUUCUUUUGCAUAUCUUAUCAUCAGGUAACCAUCUUUUUGCACCUAGCUAUUGGUGUGUGGGACGAACCAUCAACAGUUUAAAUAGGUGCUAGUAAAAGGGAGGGAUUGGUAAGGUUUUGGGUUUGGGAUUUGGUUUCCCAUGUUGAUAUCUUUUCACCCUUAACUUGUCAAUAUAUAAUACAUAAUUUCUUCUGUU
This is a non-coding RNA of Theobroma cacao (cacao), 1191 nucleotides long. The record is from RefSeq and is a predicted model, not a curated record. Lineage: Eukaryota; Viridiplantae; Streptophyta; Magnoliopsida; Malvales; Malvaceae.